RNAcentral lists this ribosomal RNA (492 nucleotides) under uncultured bacterium. RNAcentral describes it as "partial 16S ribosomal RNA". It matches the Rfam family "Bacterial small subunit ribosomal RNA", at positions 29 to 507 of the family's 1533-position model. The record is from RNAcentral.
AGUGAACGCUGGCGGUAGGCCUAACACAUGCAAGUCGAACGGCAGCACAGUAAGAGCUUGCUCUUACGGGUGGCGAGUGGCGGACGGGUGAGGAAUACAUCGGAAUCUACUUUUUCGUGGGGGUUAACGUAGGGAAACUUACGCUAAUACAGCAUACGACCUACGGUUGAAAGCAGGGGAUCUUCGGACCUUGCGCGAUUGAAUGAGCCGAUGUCGGAUUAGCUAGUUGGCUGGGUAAAGGCCCACCCAGGCGACGAUCCGUAGCUGGUCUGAGAGGAUGGUCAGCCACACUGGAACUGAGACACGGUCCAGACUCCUACGGGAGGCAGCAGUGGGGAAUAUUGGACAAUGGGCGCAAGCCUGAUACAGCCAUACCGCGUGGGUGAAGAAGGUCUUCGGGUUGUAAAGCCCUUUUGUUGGGAAAGAAAAGCAGCCGGUUAAUACCCAGCUGUUGUGACGGUAACCAAAGAAUAAGCACCGGCUAACUUCGUG